RNAcentral lists this ribosomal RNA (1905 nucleotides) under Staphylococcus pseudintermedius. RNAcentral describes it as "partial 23S ribosomal RNA". It matches the Rfam family "Bacterial large subunit ribosomal RNA", at positions 947 to 2857 of the family's 2925-position model. The record is from RNAcentral. Lineage: Bacteria; Bacillati; Bacillota; Bacilli; Caryophanales; Staphylococcaceae.
AGACAAACUCCGAAUGCCAAAUAAUUUAACUUGGGAGUCAGAAUGUGGGUGAUAAGGUCCAUAUUCGAAAGGGAAACAGCCCAGACCACCAGCUAAGGUCCCAAAAUAUAUGUUAAGUGGAAAAGGAUGUGGCGUUGCCCAGACAACUAGGAUGUUGGCUUAGAAGCAGCCAUCAUUUAAAGAGUGCGUAAUAGCUCACUAGUCGAGUGACACUGCGCCGAAAAUGUACCGGGGCUAAACAUAUUACCGAAGCUGUGGAUUGUCCUUUGGACAAUGGUAGGAGAGCGUUCUAAGGGCGUUGAAGCAUGAUCGCAAGGACAUGUGGAGCGCUUAGAAGUGAGAAUGCCGGUGUGAGUAGCGAAAGACGGGUGAGAAUCCCGUCCACCGAUUGACUAAGGUUUCCAGAGGAAGGCUCGUCCGCUCUGGGUUAGUCGGGUCCUAAGCUGAGGCCGACAGGCGUAGGCGAUGGAUAACAGGUUGAUAUUCCUGUACCACCAUUAUUCGUUUUAAGCGAUGGGGGGACGCAGUAGGAUAGGCGAAGCGUGCUGUUGGAGUGCACGUCCAAGCAGUGAGAUUGAGUGUUAGGCAAAUCCGGCACUCUUAAGAUUGAGCUGUGAUGGGGAGAGGAACUUGUUCCUCGAGUCGUUGAUUUCACACUGCCGAGAAAAGCCUCUAGCUAGAAUAACGGUGCCCGUACCGCAAACCGACACAGGUAGUCAAGAUGAGAAUUCUAAGGUGAGCGAGCGAACUCUCGUUAAGGAACUCGGCAAAAUGACCCCGUAACUUCGGGAGAAGGGGUGCUCUUUGAGGUUCACGCUUCGAAGAGCCGCAGUGAAUAGGCCCAAGCGACUGUUUAUCAAAAACACAGGUCUCUGCUAAACCGUAAGGUGACGUAUAGGGGCUGACGCCUGCCCGGUGCUGGAAGGUUAAGAGGAGUGGUUAGCGCAAGCGAAGCUACGAAUCGAAGCCCCAGUAAACGGCGGCCGUAACUAUAACGGUCCUAAGGUAGCGAAAUUCCUUGUCGGGUAAGUUCCGACCCGCACGAAAGGCGUAACGAUUUGGGCACUGUCUCAACGAGAGACUCGGUGAAAUCAUAGUACCGGUGAAGAUGCCGGUUACCCGCGACAGGACGGAAAGACCCCGUGGAGCUUUACUGUAGCCUGAUAUUGAAAUUCGGUACAGUUUGUACAGGAUAGGUAGGAGCCUUAGAAGCGUGAGCGCUAGCUUACGUGGAGGCAUUGGUGGGAUACUACCCUAAUUGUAUUGGAUUUCUAACCCGCAGCACUUAUCGUGCUGGGAGACAGUGUCAGGCGGGCAGUUUGACUGGGGCGGUCGCCUCCUAAAGAGUAACGGAGGCGCUCAAAGGUUCCCUCAGAAUGGUUGGAAAUCAUUCAUAGAGUGUAAAGGCAUAAGGGAGCUUGACUGCGAGACCUACAAGUCGAGCAGGGUCGAAAGACGGACUUAGUGAUCCGGUGGUUCCGCAUGGAAGGGCCAUCGCUCAACGGAUAAAAGCUACCCCGGGGAUAACAGGCUUAUCUCCCCCAAGAGUUCACAUCGACGGGGAGGUUUGGCACCUCGAUGUCGGCUCAUCGCAUCCUGGGGCUGUAGUCGGUCCCAAGGGUUGGGCUGUUCGCCCAUUAAAGCGGUACGCGAGCUGGGUUCAGAACGUCGUGAGACAGUUCGGUCCCUAUCCGUCGUGGGCGUAGGAAAUUUGAGAGGAGCUGUCCUUAGUACGAGAGGACCGGGAUGGACAUACCUCUGGUGUACCAGUUGUCGUGCCAACGGCAUAGCUGGGUAGCUAUGUAUGGACGGGAUAAGUGCUGAAAGCAUCUAAGCAUGAAGCCCCCCUCGAGAUGAGAUUUCCCAACUUCGGUUAUAAGAUCCCUCAAAGAUGAUGAGGUGAAU